Molecule: ribosomal RNA, 413 nt
Filed under: uncultured prokaryote
Description: bacterial SSU rRNA
Rfam family: Bacterial small subunit ribosomal RNA
Source: RNAcentral
GUGUCAGCCGCCGCGGUAAGACGGAGGGGGCUAGCGUUGUUCGGAAUUACUGGGCGUAAAGCGCGCGUAGGCGGUUUUUUAAGUUGGGUGUGAAAGCCCGGGGCUUAACCCCGGAAAUGCGCCCAAGACUGGGAGACUGGAGUCCGGGAGAGGUGGGUAGAAUUCCGAGUGUAGAGGUGAAAUUCGUAGAUAUUCGGAGGAAUACCGGUGGCGAAGGCGGCCCACUGGACCGGUACUGACGCUGAGGCGCGAAAGCGUGGGGAGCAAACAGGAUUAGAUACCCUGGUAGUCCACGCCGUAAACGAUGGGUGCUAGACGUUGGGGAGCUUGCUCCCCGGUGUCGUAGCUAACGCGUGAAGCACCCCGCCUGGGGAGUACGGCCGCAAGGUUAAAACUUAAAUGAAUUGACGGGG